AUGCGGCCUCUCCUCAGCGCCGCCGCCGCCGCCCUCCUCCUCCUCCUCCUCCCCCUCGCGGCCGGCCAGCGACUCCGCGGCUUCUCCUACCAACUCGACUGCGGCGCCGCGAGCUCCUCCACCGACAGCCGCGGCCUCCGCUGGGACCCCGACGGCCCCUACGUCUCCGCCGGCUCCGCCCGCCCGCUCUCGGCCCAGGGCCUCCUCGACCCCACCCUCGCCUCCCUCCGCGUAUUCCCGUACCGCCCCGCCGCUAAGUUCUGCUACGCGCUCCCCGUCGACCCCAAUCGCCACUACCUGCUCCGCCCCACCUUCUUCUACGGCCCCACCUCGACGGCCCCGCCCGUGUUCGACCUCAUCGUCGACGGCACCUUCUGGACCGCCGUCGACACCGCCGAUGACAUCCUGGCCGGCAGCGCCUCGCACUACGAGGCCGUGUUCCCGGCCAGGGGCAGGAACUUGACCUUCUGCAUCGGCGUCAACCCCGACUACACCAACUCCGGCCCGUUCAUCAACGCGCUGCAGGUCAUCCAGCUCCAUGAUUCGGUGUACAACGCCACCGAUUUCACGGGCAGCGCCAUGGGCCUCAUUGCGCGCACCAAGUUUGGCUCGACUGGCGACGUCGAGAGGUACCCUGAUGACAGUUUUGACCGCUAUUGGCAGCCAUUUCCAGACAGCAAACAUGCAGUCAGUAGUACCCACAACGUUACAUCAGCCGAUUUCUGGAAUCUUCCUCCUCCUGACGUAUUUAAUACAGCUUUGGUAGCAGAACAAAAUGCACCCUUGGUGUUGCAAUGGCCGCCGAUAUCUCUUCAGAAUGGCAGCUAUUAUGUUUCUCUUUAUUUUGCUGAUACAUUGGCUAAUAGUUCGAGGACCUUGGAUGUGAAUAUUAAUGAUUACCAGUUUUACCAAGGGACUGUAACAUCAGCUGGUCUUUCUGUCUUUGCAACUCAAUGGAUUCUCUCAGGCCUAACCAGAGUUAUAUUGACUUCUAAGUCUGUUCUUCCACCACUUAUCAAUGCUGGCGAAGUCUUUGGAAUUUUUCCCAUCGGAAGACUGACAAUUACACGUGAUGCGCUUGCUAUGGAGAGUAUGAAGAGAAGCCUCCAAAACAUACCUGAUGAUUGGAUUGGAGAUCCAUGUAUGCCUCAUGGAUAUGCUUGGACUGGAGUUACAUGUCAGGAAGGACAAAAUGAAAAUAUACGUGUCAUUUCAUUGAACUUUUCAGGUAUGGGUAUCUCCGGAUCUCUGUCGCCUGACAUUGCAAAUCUGACUGCUCUUAUUGAUAUAUCUUUUGCAAACAAUAGCUUGUCUGGAACUAUUCCUGAUCUCAUCAAUCUGGGACAACUCCAACGACUGCACCUGAAUGAUAACAAGUUGAAUGGAACAAUAGCUGAGACGUUGGGGACAAUUCAGCCCUUGCGUGAACUAUUCUUGCAAGACAAUGAGCUGGGUGGAGCAGUUCCACAGAACUUGCUGAACAAAACAGGGUUGACUAGCAAGUUUUGUCCGGGCAACCAGUUCACACAACCACAGUGCUGA
This 1542-nucleotide ribosomal RNA is filed under the name Triticum aestivum (bread wheat). Its description in RNAcentral is "partial small subunit ribosomal RNA". The record is from RNAcentral. Lineage: Eukaryota; Viridiplantae; Streptophyta; Magnoliopsida; Poales; Poaceae.